Molecule: long non-coding RNA, 2734 nt
Organism: Aethalodelphis obliquidens (Pacific white-sided dolphin)
Lineage: Eukaryota; Metazoa; Chordata; Mammalia; Artiodactyla; Delphinidae
Exons: 2
Source: RefSeq, a predicted model, not a curated record
UUGUGGGAUCUUAGUUCCCCAACCAGGGAUCGAACCCACGCCCUGGGCAAUGAAAGCGUGAAGUCCUAACCACUGGACCACCAGGGAAUUCCCCCAAGGACCUUCCUGUCAUCCCUAAAAUACCAAGCAGAGAGCCACCAUUUCAACAGAGGCUUGAAAGAAUAGAAUGAUAAUUCAUUAGUGUCAUAUACUAAAAGCCAUUGACUGAGAGCCAGUGGUAUAGAAAAGUUAAGAAAGUGGACUCCGCUUGGGUUUAAAUCCCGGCUCUGCUACUUACCACUCAUUUAACCUCAUCUGUAUGAGGGGGAUAAUAAUGUCUCAGCUUCUGAAAAGUAAAUGAGCUGAGAGGUUGCCUGGAGUGUGUGAGGACUCAAAAAAUGUUGGUUAGAUAUUCUGAUCUUUCUAAUCUUUGUUGGCAAAUAAACAAGAAAAUAAGGCUUUGAAGGCCCUGGCCAUUAGUUCUGUGUAGGGAAAAACAGCCAGAGAGUAAGGCUGAGACAAGGGUCCUACCUCAGCUAAUUGCAUUUCAACAGCCCCUGGGAGGCAGUGUGGCCCAGGGGUAGUGAAUCUGUGCUGGGAGUCAGAAGCCCUGGGUUUCCGUUCCUCCUCAGCCUGAGGCCAAGAUCAAGUAUGGCCAAGGGCAAGACAGGGUGUCUCUGACCCUCAGCUUACCCACCUGUAAAAUGGGGAUGAUCAUUCUGCCAGGCCCACACACAAGGUCGUUUUGAAGACCAAAUGAGAAAAUGUUCCAUGAAGGUUAAUGGUAACUCAGUUCACCUGUGUUGAGUGCCCACCUACUGUGUGCUGAGCACAGGAGAAUGAAAUUAGGCCUGCUCUCUCCCUAAACAAGUGCCCAGAAGACAGGACAUGUACCCAGACAGCCACAGUCUAUGGGUGAAAGUGCUAAGGGAGUCUGAUUACGGAAGGAAGAAGUAUCUUUAUGGUUGAGUCUUAUGAGGAGAUUCAGGGAGGAUGUACUGAAUGGUGCCCAGUGCACUCAGCAGCUCCCCUUCUAGAGCCUCAUCCAGCAGAUGUACCUGCUCAUGCCAGACGACCUGAGGUCAAGGCUGUUCACUGUAGCAUGCUGUAUAGCUGCAUAAGUUCAGAGCCCCCUAAAACACCCACCAAAGAGAGAAUAUGUGGGCUCUAUAGCAGAAUAAGGAAAAGUUCUUUGUGAACCGACAUGUCAAUUUGGGCUUCCUUCCCCUUCCUCCGGAUGCUCUCAGACCCUGAACUUGUGUCUACCAUAGUCAUUUUCAUGGGCUCCUUGAAUUAGAAGUGUCCUUGAUAACAAGGAAAGCUAUGACCUGCAAGUGCGUGAACAUAGGCCCCACUGGGCCCCAAGCCCCAGAGAAGGGUUACUGUCCUCUUUCUAUAAAGAAAAUGAGGCCCAGGUUUGCCAGGGCAGCACAGCCAAUAGAUGCUGGGCUGGGAUUUGUCCUACAACUGACUUCCUGGUUGUUUUAUGUAUCUGUUGCUCCGCCCCCUUUGAGACUAUUCAUUCUGUAAGGGCUGCGGUCAGUUUUCUUAUCCUCUCCUUCAGGGCCAGGCAAAGUCCACCCCCUUAGGAAAUAUUAAUUCUUGAGAUAGGGAUGGUCCUAAGAAGGAGAUGCCGGGGUAGGACCGUCCCUAAGGAAUCUGUGUGUGUGUGGUGGGGGGGGUGGUGGAGUGUAGGGGUGAACAAGUUGGUUCCGGGUUGGUUCAGAGGGAAGGGGGGAAGCUGAGCAUUACCAUCUGAGAGAAAAGGUGUGGUGGUGAAACAAGACAGGACAGAUACAGUUCCCAUCUUGGGAACUUGGGGAAUUAAGGGAAUUUGCCGGAAGUGGACAGGUGGUGGGCCAGAGGGGAGCAAAAACCAUCUUCCAUUUUCAUCUAAACGUCUCAGAAGGUCCCUAUGUAAGAAACCUACAUAUAGACUCCCUCAGGUACAGACACACUUUACCAUCUCUGUACAAAGCUAUUCAUUGCAGAAUUGACUGUAAAACAAUGGAGCCAACUCAAUGUCUAUCAAUAAGGAACUGGUUAAAUAGUCAGAUUUCCAUAUGAUGGAACACUCUCCAGUCCAAGAAAGGAGGAGGAAGUCCUUACCGCUCUGAUAUAGGACAAUUGCCAAAAUAUAUUUUAAGUAAAAAAAUUCGAAGUGCAUAAUCAGGGAAAUAAAAAAUUUAAACCACAAUGAGUUAUGAUCCCACAUGUAUCAGCCUGUAACAUUUUAAAAACUGAUAAUUCCAAGCAUCGGCGAGGGAGUGAAGCAAAGGGAACUCUCAAAGAGCUGGCAAGUAUGUGAACUGACACAACCACUCUGGGAAACAGUUUGCCCUUAUCAACUGAAGUUGACAAUAAUGUGUGUUCCCUAGGCCCCUGCAAAUGCCCCACGGAAAUCCUUACCCCAACCAACUCCCCAAACAUACAUACACACCAGGAGAAACAAUUAAGAACAUUCACACAAGCACUGAUCCUAGCAGCAAAAAAUUGGAAGCAACCCAAAUGUCCUCAAAUAGUGCAAUGAAAACUUAAUUGUGGUGUCUUCAUACGAUGGAAUUCCAUACCAGAGUGAAAAUGAUUGGCAUCACUCAACUGAACCUCAAGACCCUUAAUCUAAUCGUGGCUGAGAUACAAGCAAGCUGUAGAAGACUGCAGGCAGUACACUUCCUUCUCUUCAAAAUCCAAAAAGAUGAUAAGCUCCUUGAGAACAGACACCUUAUCAGGGCUUAGAACAGUACCUGGCUCACGG